UACGUAGGGAGCAAGCGUUGUCCGGAAUCAUUGGGCGUAAAGCGCGCGUAGGUGGCUUCGUAAGUCCGUUGUGAAAGUCAAAGGCUCAACCUUUGAAAGCCGAUGGAUACUGCGGAGCUAGAGUACGGAAGAGGCGAGUGGAAUUCCUGGUGUAGCGGUGGAAUGCGCAGAUAUCAGGAGGAACACCGGUGGCGAAGGCGGAAUCUCCUGGGCCAAUUACUGACGCUGAGGAGCGAAAGCUAGGGGAGCAAACGGGACUAGAA
Molecule: ribosomal RNA, 263 nt
Filed under: uncultured bacterium
Lineage: Bacteria
Description: partial 16S ribosomal RNA
Rfam family: Bacterial small subunit ribosomal RNA
Source: RNAcentral